GGUUGUUAUAUAGAGUCUGGCCUGCCCACUGACAUACGUUAAAGGGCCGCGGUAUUUUGACCGUGCGAAGGUAGCAUAAUCAUUAGUCUUUUAAUUGGAGGCUUGUAUGAAUGGUUGGACAAAAAAUAAGCUGUCUCUGUUUUAUUUCUUGAAUUUAACUUUUAAGUGAAAAGGCUUAAAUGUUCUAGGGGGACGAUAAGACCCUAUAAAGCUUUACAGUGUGUUAAUUAAAUUAUAAAUUGUUAGUAUAAACUUGGUUUGGUUAGUAGCUGUUUCGUUGGGGCGACGAAAAUAUAAUUGAUAGUAACUGUUUUUCUUU
RNAcentral lists this ribosomal RNA (319 nucleotides) under Metapenaeus affinis. Its description in RNAcentral is "partial 16S ribosomal RNA". It matches the Rfam family "Archaeal large subunit ribosomal RNA", at positions 1930 to 2379 of the family's 2987-position model. Lineage: Eukaryota; Metazoa; Arthropoda; Malacostraca; Decapoda; Penaeidae. The record is from RNAcentral.